GACGAACGCUGGCGGCGUGCUUAACACAUGCAAGUCGAACGGGCCUGUCUUCUUUUUUGGGGGUGGGUUGAGUGGCGAACGGGUGAGUAUCACGUGAGUAACCUGCCCUUCGGUCCUGGAUAACCGCUUGAAAGGGCGGCUAAUACGGGGUGGUCCGGUUGGUCCGCAUGGGCUGGUCGGGAUAGAUUCACUGUUUUUGUUGUUUCGGCGGGGGAUGGGCUCGCGGCCUAUCAGCUUGUUGGUGGGGUGAUGGCCUACCAAGGCGGUGACGGGUAGCCGGCCUGAGAGGGUGGGCGGCCAGACUGGGACUGAGAUACGGCCCAGAAUCCUGCGGGAGGCAGCAGUGUGGGGUAUUGCACAAUGGGCGGAAGCCUGAUGCAGCGACGUCGCGUGAGGGAGGGAGGCCUUCGGGUUGUGAACCUCUGUUUACGGUGGUGAAGGCCCUGUCUGUGUGGUGGGGUUGACGGUAGCCGGGGAUGAAGCGCCGGCUAACUACGUG
Molecule: ribosomal RNA, 499 nt
Filed under: uncultured bacterium
Lineage: Bacteria
Description: partial 16S ribosomal RNA
Rfam family: Bacterial small subunit ribosomal RNA
Source: RNAcentral